This 253-nucleotide ribosomal RNA is filed under the name uncultured bacterium. RNAcentral's name for it is "partial 16S ribosomal RNA". It matches the Rfam family "Bacterial small subunit ribosomal RNA", at positions 524 to 776 of the family's 1533-position model. The record is from RNAcentral.
UACAGAGGUCCCAAGCGUUGUUCGGAUUUACUUGGCGUAAAGGGUGCGUAGGCGGUGGGGUAAGUUUGAGGUGAAAGCUCCGGGCUCAACCCGGAAAAUGCCUUGAAAACUAUCCGGCUAGAGGGUUGGAGGGGAGACUGGAAUUCUCGGUGUAGCAGUGAAAUGCGUAGAUCUCGAGAGGAACACCAGUGGCGAAGGCGGGUCUCUGGACAACACCUGACGCUGAGGCACGAAAGCCAGGGGAGCAAACGGG